Non-coding RNA from Schistosoma rodhaini, 78 nucleotides. NCBI's taxonomy places the organism in Eukaryota, Metazoa, Platyhelminthes, Trematoda, Strigeidida, Schistosomatidae. The record is from Rfam.
AGGUUUUUGAACCCGUGUUCAGGUUUCGUCAGUCACCGAUCCUCCAAGGUUGAUGAGACUGCCAAGAUAAGUGAAGCU